GCACUGCUGAGGAGUCCCAUAACAGGAGAAAACGGCCGUUCAGUGC
This 46-nucleotide non-coding RNA is filed under the name Schistosoma margrebowiei. Lineage: Eukaryota; Metazoa; Platyhelminthes; Trematoda; Strigeidida; Schistosomatidae. The record is from RNAcentral.